Ostrinia furnacalis (Asian corn borer) is the source of this 483-nucleotide long non-coding RNA. RefSeq lists it as uncharacterized. The record is from RefSeq and is a predicted model, not a curated record. The transcript is spliced from 2 exons. Lineage: Eukaryota; Metazoa; Arthropoda; Insecta; Lepidoptera; Crambidae.
UUCCAAAAUACAAUUUAAGAAUUUUGCUUACCUACCUUCUCUAUCCUUUAUAGCUCUAUGCAUUAGGUGCAUGACGUUUCACUUUCCCGCCAAAAGGUUCGAUGAAAAAAAAAGUUUUUAUUUUAUUACACAGCCCCAGCCCCAGACUGCACCUCGCCUCUUGAGACCGGACCAUGCAGAGGCAGGAAAGUUGCUUUCGGCUACGAUACUGACUUGGAAGGAUGCAAACAGUUCAUCUACGGAGGAUGUGACGGCAACGGCAACCGUUACAACACUCUAGAGGAGUGUCAGGCUGCUUGCGAGAGUGACUGCAACAAAUAAUAACGAAAUGCAAGCAAUCAAUUGGGUAUUUGACAGCACAGUCAAUUGACAUACUUUUUUUAUACUGUCAAAACGCACCAUUCCCUAUUUUUCACAUUUUGCAAAGUAGAGGGAAUCUAAAGGCCAUAGCAGACUUAUCAACUCGGAAAGGGAUCAUACCGU